GACGAACGCUGGCGGCGUGCCUAAUACAUGCAAGUAGAACGCUGAAGGAGGAGCUUGCUCUUCUGGAUGAGUUGCGAACGGGUGAGUAACGCGUAGGUAACCUGCCUGGUAGCGGGGGAUAACUAUUGGAAACGAUAGCUAAUACCGCAUAAGAGUAAAUGUUGCAUGACAUUUGCUUAAAAGGUGCAAUUGCAUCACUACCAGAUGGACCUGCGUUGUAUUAGCUAGUUGGUGGGGUAACGGCUCACCAAGGCGACGAUACAUAGCCGACCUGAGAGGGUGAUCGGCCACACUGGGACUGAGACACGGCCCAGACUCCUACGGGAGGCAGCAGUAGGGAAUCUUCGGCAAUGGACGGAAGUCUGACCGAGCAACGCCGCGUGAGUGAAGAAGGUUUUCGGAUCGUAAAGCUCUGUUGUAAGAGAAGAACGAGU
Molecule: ribosomal RNA, 434 nt
Filed under: Streptococcus sp. oral taxon 064
Lineage: Bacteria; Bacillati; Bacillota; Bacilli; Lactobacillales; Streptococcaceae
Description: bacterial SSU rRNA
Rfam family: Bacterial small subunit ribosomal RNA
Source: RNAcentral